UUUAUCCUACGGGACGCAGCAGUGGGGAAUAUUGCACAAUGGGGGAAACCCUGAUGCAGCAACGCCGCGUGAGUGAAGAAGUAUUUCGAUAUGUAAAGCUCUAUCAGCGGGGAAGAAGAUGACGGUACCUGAGUAAGAAGCCCCGGCUAACUACGUGCCAGCAGCCGCGGUAAUACGUAGGGGGCAAGCGUUAUCCGGAUUUACUGGGUGUCAAGGGAGCGUAGACGGCGAUGCAAGUCUGAAGUGAAAGGCGGGGGCCCAACCCCUGGACUGCUUUGGCAACUGUAUGGCUGGCGUGCAGGGGG
Molecule: ribosomal RNA, 305 nt
Filed under: uncultured bacterium
Lineage: Bacteria
Description: bacterial SSU rRNA
Rfam family: Bacterial small subunit ribosomal RNA
Source: RNAcentral